Molecule: non-coding RNA, 224 nt
Organism: Linepithema humile (Argentine ant)
Lineage: Eukaryota; Metazoa; Arthropoda; Insecta; Hymenoptera; Formicidae
Source: RefSeq, a predicted model, not a curated record
AAAAAAUCAUCCAGUAAAUAUAUCCUAUUCGAGUAUUAGCUCGCUAUCGUCUAUCAGUGAGCAAACGACAGAGCAACUUAGAGAAAUCUUAGAAGAUACUCCUAAAUCAGACGACACGCUGUCUUUACAAAAAGCAAGGAGGAUGUACGCCAUGUGUAUGGACUCCAAGAAACUGAAAUUGAUCGGAAUAAACGCUCUUAGCAAUCUUGUGCGAAAGAAUGGUG